UCUCUGGUGGCCUAAUGGUUAAGGUUUGGCAUUGUCACUGAUGUGGCUCAGGUUUGAUCCCUGGCCUGGGGA
This 72-nucleotide transfer RNA is filed under the name Sus scrofa (pig). It matches the Rfam family "tRNA". From Rfam's summary of the family: Transfer RNA (tRNA) molecules are approximately 80 nucleotides in length. The record is from Rfam by way of RNAcentral. Lineage: Eukaryota; Metazoa; Chordata; Mammalia; Artiodactyla; Suidae.